AACGUCCAUACCACGCUGGAUACACCGGUGCUCGUCCGAUCACCGAGUUAAAUGGCGUCGGCCGCGGUCAGUACUUGGAUGGGUGGACCGCCUGCGAACACCG
Non-coding RNA from Eumeta japonica, 103 nucleotides. The record is from the annotation of a GenBank genome assembly. NCBI's taxonomy places the organism in Eukaryota, Metazoa, Arthropoda, Insecta, Lepidoptera, Psychidae.